UGAAACAUCUCAGUAGCUCGAGGAAAAGACAUCAACCGAGAUUCCGAAAGUAGUGGCGAGCGAAAUCGGAAGAGCCUUCUAGUGAUAGCACGACUGUUAGCAAAACGGAAUGGAAAGUCCGGCCAUAGCAGGUGAUAGCCCUGUAUGCGAAAACAGACGUGUGGUACUAAGUUAGAGAAAAGUAGGGCGGGACACGAGAAAUCCUGUCUGAAUAUGGGGGGACCAUCCUCCAAGGCUAAAUACUCCUAGCUGACCGAUAGUGAACUAGUACCGUGAGGGAAAGGCGAAAAGAACCCCGGUGAGGGGAGUGAAAUAGAUCCUGAAACCGCGUACGUACAAGCAGUCGGAGCCCUUCGGGGUGACGGCGUACCUUUUGUAUAAUGGGUCAGCGAGUUAUUGUCUGUAGCAAGGUUAACCGUCUAGGGGAGCCGUAGGGAAACCGAGUCUUAAUAGGGCGCUUAGUUGCAGGUAAUAGACCCGAAACCGGACGAUCUAGCCAUGGCCAGGUUGAAGGUGCCGUAACAGGCACUGGAGGACCGAACCCACCUAUGUUGAAAAAUGGGGGGAUGAGCUGUGGCUCGGAGUGAAAGGCUAAUCAAGUCCGGAGAUAGCUGGUUCUCCCCGAAAUCUAUUUAGGUAGAGCCUCGUGAAUAACUGCUGGGGGUAAAGCACUGUUUCGGCUAGGGGGUCAUCCCGACUUACCAAACCGAUGCAAACUCUGAAUACCAGUAAGUUCAAUCACGGGAGACAGACAGCGGGUGCUAACGUCCGUUGUCAAGAGGGCAACAACCCAGACCACCAGCUAAGGUCCCUAAUAUCAGUUCAGUGGGAAACGAUGUGGGAAGGCUUAGACAGCUAGGAGGUUGGCUUAGAAGCAGCCACCCUUUAAAGAAAGCGUAAUAGCUCACUAGUCGAGUCGGCCUGCGCGGAAGAUAUACCGGGGCUAAACUGAUAACCGAAGCUGUGGGAGCACACUUGUGUGCUCGGUAGAGGAGCGUUCUGUAAGCGGUUGAAGGUGUGUUGUAAAGCAUGCUGGACGUAUCAGAAGUGCGAAUGCUGACAUGAGUAACGAUAAGAGGGGUGAAAAACCCCUCCGCCGAAAGAUCAAGGUUUCCUGUCCAACGUUAAUCGGGACAGGGUGAGUCGGCCCCUAAGGCGAGGGCGAAAGCCGUAGUCGAUGGGAAAUCGGUUAAAAUUCCGAUACCGAUUUUUACUGCGAUGGAGUGACGGAGAAGGCUAGGCUAGCACGGCGAUGGUUGUCCGUGUUCAAGCGUGUAGGUAGGGGGAUUAGGUAAAUCCGGUCCCUCGUUAAUCUGAGACGUGAUAACGAUCUCCUGGGGAAACCCUCGAGAGAAGUAGUCGAUGCCAUACUUCCAGGAAAAACUUCUAAGCUUCAGGUAAAAAUCGACCGUACUGUAAACCGACACAGGUGAUCAGGUAGAGAAUACCAAGGCGCUUGAGAGAACUUGGGUGAAGGAACUAGGCAAAAUGGUACCGUAACUUCGGGAGAAGGUACGCUCCCUUUGGUGAAGCACUUGCUGCGUAAGCUGAGGGGAGUCGAAGUGACCAGGUGGCUGCAACUGUUUAUUAAAAACAUAGCACUCUGCAAACUCGCGAGAGGAAGUAUAGGGUGUGACGCCUGCCCGGUGCCGGAAGGUUAAAUGAUGGGGUUAGCUUCGGCGAAGCUCUUGAUUGAAGCCCCGGUAAACGGCGGCCGUAACAAUAACGGUCCUAAGGUAGCGAAAUUCCUUGUCGGGUAAGUUCCGACCCGCACGAAAGGCGUAAUGAUUUGGAUACUGUCUCGGAGAGGGACUCGGUGAAAUAGACUUGUCUGUGAAGAUGCGGACUACCUGCACCAGGACAGAAAGACCCUAUGAAGCUUUACUGUAACUUGAAAUUGAAAUUGGACUUUAUUCGCGCAGUAUAGGUGGGAGGCAUUGAAAAUAAUCUUGCGGGAAUAUUGGAGCCAUCAGUGAGAUACCACUCUUGUAAUGUUAGAUUUCUAACUUUGAAUCAUUAUCUGGUCAAAGAACAGUUUCAGGCGGGCAGUUUGACUGGGGCGGUCGCCUCCCAAAUGGUAACGGAG
This 2086-nucleotide ribosomal RNA is filed under the name Ditylum brightwellii. RNAcentral describes it as "partial Bacterial large subunit ribosomal RNA". It matches the Rfam family "Bacterial large subunit ribosomal RNA", at positions 194 to 2305 of the family's 2925-position model. Lineage: Eukaryota; Bacillariophyta; Thalassiosirophyceae; Lithodesmiales; Lithodesmiaceae. The record is from RNAcentral.